CUGAAAAUAAUAAUUUAACCUAUUAAAAUGUAACCUAUUAUUUACUUUUCUCUCUCUCCUACUUUAUUAUUAUUUUAUAUUUUUUAGUUAGUGAAAAACCAUACUAGAGACUACUGAUGGAGAUGUUCUUAUCUUUUCUGUCUAUUUUUGACUUUCAUGAUUCGCUUUUAGUUUCUUUUCUUCGGCUUCGCUUUUGGGUUUUCUAUUUUAGCUUUUUUCUUUUUGCUUAU
RNAcentral lists this small RNA (230 nucleotides) under Arabidopsis thaliana (thale cress). RNAcentral's name for it is "ATSL139240". The record is from RNAcentral. Lineage: Eukaryota; Viridiplantae; Streptophyta; Magnoliopsida; Brassicales; Brassicaceae.